Molecule: ribosomal RNA, 404 nt
Filed under: Fusobacteriota bacterium
Lineage: Bacteria; Fusobacteriati; Fusobacteriota
Description: Fusobacteria bacterium partial 16S ribosomal RNA
Rfam family: Bacterial small subunit ribosomal RNA
Source: RNAcentral
UGGGGAAUAUUGCACAAUGGAGGGAACUCUGAUGCAGCGACGCCGCGUGAGUGAUGAAGGAUUUCGUUUCGUAAAACUCUGUUCUAUGGGAAGAAAAGGACUGUACCAUAGGAGAAAGCUCCGGCUAAAUACGUGCCAGCAGCCGCGGUAAUACGUAUGGAGCGAGCGUUGUCCGGAAUUAUUGGGCGUAAAGGGUGCGCAGGCGGCUUUACAAGUUGGAUGUGAAAUAUUGUGGCUCAACCACAAACGUGCAUCCAAAACUGCAAAGCUUGAGUUAAGGAGAGGUAAGUGGAAUUCCUGGUGUAGCGGUGGAAUGCGUAGAUAUCAGGAGGAAUACCGAUGGCGACAGCGACUUACUGGACUUAAACUGUCGCUCAGGCACGAAAGCGUGGGGAGCAAACAGG